RNAcentral lists this transfer RNA (91 nucleotides) under Sphaerosporella brunnea. It matches the Rfam family "tRNA". Rfam says of the family: Transfer RNA (tRNA) molecules are approximately 80 nucleotides in length. Their secondary structure includes four short double-helical elements and three loops (D, anti-codon, and T loops). Lineage: Eukaryota; Fungi; Ascomycota; Pezizomycetes; Pezizales; Pyronemataceae. The record is from Rfam by way of RNAcentral.
GUCAAGGUGGUGGAGUGGUUAACACGUUCGCCUGCUAUUCCAAGCUUAGCGGAUGCCUUCGGGCGCGCAGGUUCGAAUCCUGUCCUUGACG